AAGUCGUAACAAGGUUUCCGUAGGUGAACCUGCGGAAGGAUCAUUAUUGAAUAUUCUUGAUGGGUUGUAGCUGGCUCUUCGGGGCAUGUGCACACUUGUCUUGACUUUAUUCAUCCACCUGUGCACCUUUUGUAGUCUUGUGGGUUGAGAGCAGUCGACUAUCGGAUGGCUAUGGCCUUUCCGGACAUGAGGAAUGCUGAGUGCGAAAGCAUAUAGCUCUUCUCAAAUGACUUGCAAAACUCUCCCUCGAGUACUAUGUAUUCAUAUACCACAUAGUAUGUUGUCGAAUGUGAUCAAUGGGCCUAUGUGCCUAUAAAAUCAUAUACAACUUUCAGCAACGGAUCUCUUGGCUCUC
RNAcentral lists this unclassified non-coding RNA (355 nucleotides) under Bovistella utriformis. RNAcentral describes it as "Lycoperdon utriforme partial internal transcribed spacer region". The stretch from base 1 to 46 matches the Rfam family "Eukaryotic small subunit ribosomal RNA", at positions 1786 to 1831 of the family's 1831-position model. Lineage: Eukaryota; Fungi; Basidiomycota; Agaricomycetes; Agaricales; Lycoperdaceae. RNAcentral also lists the same sequence under 1 other name. The record is from RNAcentral.